UCAGGAACAGAAGUCAGAGCUCAAGAUGACCUUCACCAUGGCCUGGACCUGUCUCUCCCUCAUAUUCCUUGUUCAGUGCACAGGGUCUUGGGCCCAGUCUGUGCUGACUCAGCCGCCCUCGCUGUCUGGGACUCCAGGACAGAGGGUCACCAUCUCCUGCACUGGAAGCAGCAGCAAUAUUGGUAGUGAUAAUGUGCAUUGGUACCAGCAGCUCCCAGAGACUGCCCCCAAACUUCUCAUCUAUGGUGAUAGUAAUCGACCCUCAGGAGUCCCUGAUCGUUUCUCUGGCUCCAAGUCUGGCAACUCUGGUUCACUGACCAUCACUGGGCUCCAGCCUGAGGAUGAGGCUGUCUAUUACUGUCAGUCUUAUGAUUACAGCCUUAAUGCUCUCACAGUGUUCCAGGCUCAUGGGGAAGCAGCUUGUUCUCAGAUUCAUAGUGGUUUGAAGGCUCUUCUGAUUCAUGUUGUCAUGUUUGCCAUGCCACCUAGUUCAGCACCCACAGAGGAAGGUGUCAGGGAUGGUUACCUCCAGUGA
Non-coding RNA from Urocitellus parryii (Arctic ground squirrel), 535 nucleotides. NCBI's taxonomy places the organism in Eukaryota, Metazoa, Chordata, Mammalia, Rodentia, Sciuridae. The record is from the annotation of a RefSeq genome assembly.